AUGAACGCUAGCGACAGGCCUAACACAUGCAAGUCGAGGGGCAGCACAAGGAGCAAUCUGAGGUGGCGACCGGCGCACGGGUGAGUAACACGUAUGCAACCUGCCUGUAAGCGGGGAAUAACCCGUUGAAAGACGGACUAAUACCGCAUAAUACUAAAUUACUGCAUGGUAAUUUAUUUAAACAUUUAUGGCUUACAGAUGGGCAUGCGCAUGAUUAGCUAGUUGGAGAGGUAACGGCUCCCCAAGGCAACGAUCAUUAGGGGUUCUGAGAGGAAGGUCCCCCACACUGGUACUGAGACACGGACCAGACUCCUACGGGAGGCAGCAGUGAGGAAUAUUGGUCAAUGGACGAGAGUCUGAACCAGCCAAGUCGCGUGCAGGAAGAAUGUCCUAUGGAUUGUAAACUGCUUUUGCAGGGGAAUAAAGUGCAUCACGUGUGAUGUUUUGUAUGUACUCUGCGAAUAAGGAUCGGCUAACUCCGUGCCAGCCGCCGC
Molecule: ribosomal RNA, 494 nt
Filed under: uncultured bacterium
Lineage: Bacteria
Description: bacterial SSU rRNA
Rfam family: Bacterial small subunit ribosomal RNA
Source: RNAcentral